CCAGGUUACAGUGUGGGGGUACCAACCAGGUUACAGUACCAACCAGGUUGUAGUGUGGGGGUACCAACCAGGUUGUAGUGUGGGGGUACCAACCAGGUUGUAGUGUGGGGGUACCAACCAGGUUAUAGGGUGGUGGUAUCAACCAGGUUGUAGUGUGGGGGUACCAACCAGGUUACAGUACCAACCAGGUUACAGUACCAACCAGGUUGUAGUGUGGUGGUAUCAACCAGGUUGUAGUGUGGGGGUACCAACCAGGUUACAGUACCAACCAGGUUACAGUGUGGGGGUACCAACCAGGUUACAGUACCAACCAGGUUGUAGUGUGGGGGUACCAACCAGGUUGUAGUGUGGGGGUACCAACCAGGUUACAGUGUGGGGGUACCAACCAGGUUAUAGUGUGGGGGUGCCAACCAGGUUGUAGUGUGGGGGUACCAACCAGGUUGUAUUGUGGGGGUACCAACCAGGUUGUAGUGUGG
Molecule: long non-coding RNA, 476 nt
Organism: Oncorhynchus tshawytscha (Chinook salmon)
Lineage: Eukaryota; Metazoa; Chordata; Actinopteri; Salmoniformes; Salmonidae
Source: Ensembl